AUUGGUCAAUGGACGCAAGUCUGAACCAGCCAUGUCGCGUGCAGGAAGACUGCCCUAUGGGUUGUAAACUGCUUUUAUAUUGGAAGAAUUGCGCUUACGAGUUAAGCGUUUGACGGUACAUUAUGAAUAAGGAUCGGCUAACUCCGUGCCAGCAGCCGCGGUAAUACGGAGGAUCCGAGCGUUAUCCGGAUUUACUGGGUUUAAAGGGUGCGUAGGUGGAUUUGUAAGUCAGUGGUGAAAUCUCCGAGCUUAACUCGGAAACUGCCGUUGAUACUAUAAGUCUUGAAUCAUCUGGAGGUAAGCGGAAUAUGUCAUGUAGCGGUGAAAUGCUUAGAUAUGACAUAGAACACCAAUUGCGAAGGCAGCUUACUACGGAUGUAUUGACACUGAGGCACGAAAGCGUGGGGAUCAAACAG
RNAcentral lists this ribosomal RNA (416 nucleotides) under uncultured bacterium. Its description in RNAcentral is "bacterial SSU rRNA". It matches the Rfam family "Bacterial small subunit ribosomal RNA", at positions 363 to 775 of the family's 1533-position model. The record is from RNAcentral.